UGGGCCGGGAAUUAUAUAAGAAUCCUUAGCAGCAUGAGUGCCAGCCAGUCAUUGCUGUUCUUUGCAUUGCUGAGGAGGACAGUCCUGCCAACAUAACAGUUUGUUCAAUAACAGGAGACAAACAGAAACACAGAGGUGCUAUACAUUCCGAUGGAAAAGACAACAAAAGCAUCUCCCAUCAUUUUGGCGUGGCUCAGAUCAAGAGGAGAAUUU
Long non-coding RNA from Mya arenaria, 213 nucleotides. RefSeq lists it as uncharacterized. The transcript is spliced from 3 exons. Lineage: Eukaryota; Metazoa; Mollusca; Bivalvia; Myida; Myidae. The record is from RefSeq and is a predicted model, not a curated record.